CGUAGGGUGCAAGCGUUGUCCGGAAUUAUUGGGCGUAAAGAGCUCGUAGGCGGUUUGUCACGUCUGCUGUGAAAACGCGAGGCUCAACCUCGCGCCUGCAGUGGGUACGGGCAGACUAGAGUGCGGUAGGGGAGAUUGGAAUUCCUGGUGUAGCGGUGGAAUGCGCAGAUAUCAGGAGGAACACCGACGGCGAAGGCAGAUCUCUGGGCCGUAACUGACGCUGAGGAGCGAAAGCGUGGGGAGCGAACAGGAUUAGAUACCCUGGUAGUCCACGCCGUAAACGUUGGGAACUAGAUGUGGGGUCCAUUCCACGGAUUCCGUGUCGCAGCUAACGCAUUAAGUUCCCCGCCUGGGGAGUACGGCCGCAAGGCUA
Molecule: ribosomal RNA, 373 nt
Filed under: uncultured organism
Description: bacterial SSU rRNA
Rfam family: Bacterial small subunit ribosomal RNA
Source: RNAcentral